UAUCCUAUUUACUCUUCGAGUCCGGGUAUAAAAAUGGAAAAAUAAAUGCAUUGAAGCAGGACCCUCCUUUUGUUGGGAUUGGAGGCUCUUGUCGUAGCGGAGGAGGAGGGCAAUCAAUCCCGACAUCGUUGAGUAAACCUAUAUCUGCGGGAAAGAAACAUAAAGGGUCGUUUUUCUAUAGAUGUGAGUAUUACAACUUAUAUACAUUGUGCAUAUGUAUGGGAACAAAUCUAACAAUUCCCUUUGGACAUUCCGCAGUUAGAAAAUAUGAUGGAGACGACAUUAGUAUUCUUUGAGAAUUUGCAUAUGUCUAAGAAUAACUUCUGCAGCCUUCUUGGAUUAUUGGAGCAGCAGCGCCGUGACAAGGAAUAUUUUCGCCCAGGGCGAAGUUAUAAACGGCUCCUUCGCCCCAUCCCCUCCCUCCUUUCGGCAAGACCCUGUGGAGAAGUACAUGGAACCAACAGGAAAACAGCUUAAAACAUUUU
RNAcentral lists this long non-coding RNA (485 nucleotides) under Drosophila guanche. The record is from RNAcentral. Lineage: Eukaryota; Metazoa; Arthropoda; Insecta; Diptera; Drosophilidae.